CCUGGUUCAUCCUGCUAGUAGCAUAUGCUUGUCUCAAAGAUUAAGCCAUGCACGUGUAAGUACACACGGCUGGUACAAUGAAACUGUGAAUGGCUCAUUAAAUCUGUUAUGGUUCCUUUGAUCGCUCCAUCUGUUACUUGAUUAACUGUGGUCAUUCUAGAGCUAAUACAUGCCGACGAGUGCUGACCUCCCGGGAUGCGUGCAUUUAUCAGACCAAGACCAAGCUGUGCUCUCCCAGCCGCUAUGGUGACAUAAGAUAACCUCAAGCCGAUAGCAAGUCCCUGUGAUGGAAACAAUACAUUAUGAUGUCUGCCCUAUAAACUUUCGUUGGUACUUUCUAUGCCUACCAUGGUGAGCACGGGUAACAGGGAAUCAGGGCUCGAUUCCGGAGAGGGAGCCUUUGUAAUGGCUUCCAUAGGCAAGGAAGUUUUGAGGGGCACAAAUUACACACUCCCGAAUCGGGGAGGUAGUGACAGAAAAAACAAUACAGGAUUCUUUUGAGGACCUGUAAUUUGAAUGAGUACACUUUAAAGCCUUUAACAAGGAUCCCUUGUAGGGCUAGUCUGUUGCCAGCAGCCACCACAAUUCUAGCUUCAAUAGCAUUUAUUAAAGUUGCUGCAGUUAAAAAACUUGUAGUUGGAUCUUGAGAUCGAGCUGGCAGUCCGCCGCGAGGCGAGCUACCGCCUGUCCCAGCACCUGCCUCUCGGCGCCCCCUUGAUGCUCCUGACUGAUUGUCCUGGGGAUCCGAAGCAUUUACUUUGAAAAAAACUAGAGUGUUCAAAGCAGGCUGGUCACCUGAAUACUUCAGCUAGGAAUAGAGGGACAAGUGAUGUAUAGCCACACGAGCUCAAGCAAUAACGGGUCUAUGAUGCCAUUAUAUGUCCAGGGCUGCACGCGUGCGCUACACUGAAUGGAUCAGCAUGUGUCUACCCUUAACCGACAGAGUAACCUGCUGAGCCCCGUUGUGAUAGGGAAUGGGGAUUGCAAUUUCCCAUGAACGAGGAAUUCCCAGUAAGUGUGGGUCAGAAGCUCAUGUUGAUCAAGUCCCUGCCCUUUGUACACACCGCCCAUCACUACUACCGAUUGGAUGGUUUAGUGAGGUCCUCGGACCAGCGCUGGGGUAAGCAACGGCCCCGGUGGAGCGCCAAGAAGACAAUAUAACUUCACUAUCCAGAAGUAAAAGUCGUAACAAGGUUUCCAUAGGUGAACCUGUGGAAGGAUCCUUA
RNAcentral lists this ribosomal RNA (1226 nucleotides) under Ambystoma mexicanum (axolotl). RNAcentral describes it as "SSU rRNA". It matches the Rfam family "Eukaryotic small subunit ribosomal RNA". The record is from RNAcentral. Lineage: Eukaryota; Metazoa; Chordata; Amphibia; Caudata; Ambystomatidae.